AAUCAACGCUGGCGGCGUGCCUCAGACAUGCAAGUCGUACGAUUAAAGCUCUCUUCGGAGAGUGUAUAGAGUGGCGCACGGGUGAGUAACACGUAAGUAAUCUACCUUCGAGUGGGGAAUAACAGUCGGAAACGACUGCUAAUACCGCAUAAUGCAGCGGCACCUAAUGGUGACAGUUGUUAAAGCAUUUAUGUGCUUGAAGAGGAGCUUGCGGCAGAUUAGCUAGUUGGUAAGGUAAUGGCUUACCAAGGCAACGAUCUGUAGCCGACCUGAGAGGGUGGUCGGUCACACUGACACUGAAUAACGGGUCAGACUCCUACGGGAGGCAGCAGUCGGGAAUUUUGGGCAAUGGGCGAAAGCCUGACCCAGCAACGCCGCGUGAGUGAUGAAGGCCUUAGGGUUGUAAAGCUCUUUCAGCGGGGAAGAUAAUGACGUUACCGCAGAAGAAGCCCGGCUAACUUCGUGCCAGCCGCCGCUGUAAU
Molecule: ribosomal RNA, 482 nt
Filed under: uncultured bacterium
Lineage: Bacteria
Description: bacterial SSU rRNA
Rfam family: Bacterial small subunit ribosomal RNA
Source: RNAcentral